RNAcentral lists this ribosomal RNA (1105 nucleotides) under uncultured bacterium. RNAcentral's name for it is "bacterial SSU rRNA". The stretch from base 1 to 865 matches the Rfam family "Bacterial small subunit ribosomal RNA", at positions 11 to 873 of the family's 1533-position model. The record is from RNAcentral.
GUUUGAUCCUGGCUCAGAUUGAGCGCUGGCGGCAGGCCUAACACAUGCAAGUCGAGCGGUAGAGAGAAGCUUGCUUCUCUUGAGAGCGGCGGACGGGUGAGUAAUGCCUAGGAAUCUGCCUGGUAGUGGGGGAUAACGUUCGGAAACGGACGCUAAUACCGCAUACGUCCUACGGGAGAAAGCAGGGGACCUUCGGGCCUUGCGCUAUCAGAUGAGCCUAGGUCGGAUUAGCUAGUUGGUGAGGUAAUGGCUCACCAAGGCUACGACCCGUAACUGGUCUGAGAGGAUGAUCAGUCACACUGGAACUGAGACACGGUCCAGACUCCUACGGGAGGCAGCAGUGGGGAAUAUUGGACAAUGGGCGAAAGCCUGAUCCAGCCAUGCUGCGUGUGUGAAGAAGGUCUUCGGAUUGUAAAGCACUUUAAGUUGGGAGGAAGGGUUGUAGAUUAAUACUCUGCAAUUUUGACGUUACCGACAGAAUAAGCACCGGCUAACUCUGUGCCAGCAGCCGCGGUAAUACAGAGGGUGCAAGCGUUAAUCGGAAUUACUGGGCGUAAAGCGCGCGUAGGUGGUUUGUUAAGUUGGAUGUGAAAUCCCGGGGCUCAACCUGGGAACUGCAUUCAAAUCUGACUGACUAGAGUAUGGUAGAGGGGGGUGAAUUUUCCUGUGAGGUGGGGAGCUGCAAAAAUCUAAGAGUGAACACCGGUGGUGAAAUGCUAUCACGUGGUGUAAACUAGAGGGUGAUGUGCUGAUGUGUGCGCACGAAAUAGUAUCUCAUAGCUGGGAUACACACCAGAGUAGAUGUCCUCCAGCGGUGGGAUCUUCAUGUUUCUAUGCUCACUCACACAUAAUUAUACCGACUGUCGAUACGUACGCAGCUAGAUCUAUAUAGAUUGAUUGCGGGCGCGCGCGUGCAUCGACUAGUAUAAAUACGACGACGAGACUACCGACUGACUCCAAUGACUUCAGUCUAAUGUAGUCGUCGCGUAGAGAACAAUGAACGUGUCUGUCGCUCCACUCCAAGUAAUAGAAUAUAGUUCACCCUUCACAGGUGACCUGUUCAAUACAAACUCUACGGGACAUAGGAGAGCUGCUAACACGUAAG